UGUCGGUGUAAGUCCGGUCACGGUAGUUGCCAGUGAGCGUGUAGCUAAACUCGGUGCGUUGUAUUAAUACAGGGUGCUAAGCGAGUGGAUAAAGUAACCCGAUGAGGGAGCGAGCAAUCAUGCAGACCGUAACAUA
Molecule: non-coding RNA, 136 nt
Filed under: Ruminococcus gauvreauii
Lineage: Bacteria; Bacillati; Bacillota; Clostridia; Eubacteriales; Oscillospiraceae
Source: RNAcentral